Molecule: ribosomal RNA, 523 nt
Filed under: uncultured organism
Description: bacterial SSU rRNA
Rfam family: Bacterial small subunit ribosomal RNA
Source: RNAcentral
UCCUGGCUCAGAAUGAACGCUGGCGGCGUGCCUAAUCCAUGCAAGUCGAACGGGAAGCCAGCCUUCGGGCUGGUGGAGAGUGGCGGACUGGUGAGUAGCACGUGGGUAAUCUGCCUGAAGGUGGGGAAUAGCCCUUCCAACGAGGGGAUAAUACCGCAUGUGGUCUUGUCGAUGCAUAUCGACUUGAUCAAAGAGGGGGAUCUUCGGACCUCUCGCCUUCAGAUGAACCCGCGCCCCAUUAGCUAGUUGGUAGGGUAAUGGCCUACCAAGGCGACGAUGGGUAGCCGGCCUGAGAGGGUGACCGGCCACACUGGGACUGAGAUACUGCCCAGACUCCUACGGGAGGCAGCAGGAGGGAAUAUUGCACAAUGGACGAAAGUCCGAUGCAGCGACGCCGCGUGAGGGAUUGACGCUCCCCGGAGUGUAAACCUCAAACGGACAGGGACGAACGUUGGAUCGCUAAUACCGGUUCAAUUUGACGGUACCUGUUACGAAGCUCUGGCUAACUCCGUGCCAGCAGCCG